GCCGGAACUCACAACUCAGGCUCUAUUUCCAGAAAGUGUCCUCUAGCGCCCGGUUGAUGGACAGACAGUUUAGAAACACUGGCUGCAGUGUAUGUGAAAACUGGCGGCAGAUCUAAGAGGAAGACGGAAGAUCAGGAAUUAAAGGUUACGAAACAAAGUUGAAGAAAUCUCCUAGAAAAUGUGUGGGGAAUAGAAAAUCGGAGAUGAUAAAACCCUUUUAUAAAGUAUGGUAGAAGACAUGCUCUCACACCCUGGGGCAUACUGGGAAAGAAAAGGUGGAAAUGACAGGAAGGAGACAGAGAGUUCAGCAGAACGAAGACUUCAGAUCUCCUGAUGGGACGGCCCAUCAAAUGCCCCACGACAAGGUCUGCAGGAAACUGAGUUUCUGGAAAGCUGGGUUGAUCCUGUUCUUUGAUUCCUUUUCUUUCCAGUUAGAAAUUUUGCCUGAGAGUUCAUACUCAGUCUGUGAUAUCUCCAAUCAUAGGGACAAGUAUCCACAGGUAAGCUAGCGGCCUCCAGGACGACUCGGCAGGUCAAAAAGCCUUGCUACCCAACCUGACUGAGAUUCACAA
This is a long non-coding RNA of Myodes glareolus (Bank vole), 572 nucleotides long. RefSeq lists it as uncharacterized. The record is from RefSeq and is a predicted model, not a curated record. NCBI's taxonomy places the organism in Eukaryota, Metazoa, Chordata, Mammalia, Rodentia, Cricetidae.